UACGUAGGUGGCUAGCGUUGUCCGGAUUUAUUGGGCGUAAAGAGCGCGCAGGCGGUCGUUCAAGUCGAGUGUGAAAGCCCCCGGCUCAACUGGGGAGGGUCACUCGAUACUGAUCGACUUGAAGGCGGGAGAGGGAAGCGGAAUUCCCGGUGUAGUGGUGAAAUGCGUAGAUAUCGGGAGGAACACCAGUGGCGAAGGCGGCUUUCUGGCCCGUUCUUGACGCUGAGGCGCGAAAGCUAGGGUAGCAAACGGG
RNAcentral lists this ribosomal RNA (253 nucleotides) under uncultured bacterium. Its description in RNAcentral is "partial 16S ribosomal RNA". It matches the Rfam family "Bacterial small subunit ribosomal RNA", at positions 524 to 776 of the family's 1533-position model. The record is from RNAcentral.